CUGCAUAACAGCUUAAAUGAAGCGAAGUCCGACUCGGCGAAUCCAAGCCAUUCAAUCCUAGCAACCUGCAGAAGGGAAGAAUCAAAAUGUAAAUGGAAUUCUAGUAGGCAGCGCCACACAUCGAGUGGUUUUCAUCACUUAACAAGAAACCAACUCUAACUGUUAUUAAUUAACAAACCUAUAACUAACCCAAUCUUAACACAAUAAAAGGAUAACAAACUUUUCCAACUGUCAAAAAAACUUUCUAACAGAAAUAACCAACUCUAACAACCUCUAACCAACCCCUAACUUCCCUAACUAAAAAUUCAUAAACCUAUAAAAGCAUACCUUGCCCAAUCAUUUUGGAUUUCAUCAUAUUCAUUCUUCCUCACUUUCUUCAAUCUUCUUCAACACCUUUCUUCCAUUUUCUCCAUUCACAACCAAUUUCAAUAUCCAUCUUCAACCUCACACCUAAAUAAUCUUCAAUCUCCUCCUUCAUCUUCAAUCCUCACUUUCUUCAAUCUUCUUCAACACCUUUCUUCCAUUUUCUCCAUUCACAACCAAUUUCAAUAUCCAUCUUCAACCUCACACCUAAAUAAUCUUCAAUCUCCUCCUUCAUCUUCAAACUGAACCGUCAAGCUCCAACCUCCAGGUUCUUCAUCGAUUGCACGAAACAACCUUCAAUUCUUCACCCUCCACUUCACAACCAUAACUUCCAUGGAACCUCACCUCUAACCGCCUUCAACACACACACACACACACAGGGAGGCGAGAAAUGAAAAACAGAACAGAAACAGAAGAAAACAAAUCAGAAAGAUUGAAAGAAGUAAGAGAACUCACAUGACCGCGUUAUCCUCAUCAUCUACAGAAUCGGAAACCUUCCAUUAGCCUCUCACGUAACCAUCGUCCAAAUCGGUCAGAAUCACUAAACUUCAACAAUCUCCAUAGAUUACA
Molecule: long non-coding RNA, 933 nt
Filed under: Lathyrus oleraceus (garden pea)
Lineage: Eukaryota; Viridiplantae; Streptophyta; Magnoliopsida; Fabales; Fabaceae
Description: Pisum sativum (pea) long non-coding RNA (PSAT_LNC039954)
Source: RNAcentral